UCUGUUCUUUAAAUUCAAUAGCUUCCUUACUUUUUAAUGUCCAUCUAUUCCACGCACAUACACAGUUUCUCAGUUUCAAAGGCAUCAAGACUCCUUUUUUUUUUUUUACUAUAAAUAUUCUGGAAAAGUCAAAUUGUUGACACAUUUUAAAAGUAGAAAACCAUUCUCCAUCUUUAAUUACGUUCAAGGAAGCCAAGAAGUUUGCGAAUUGAAAUAUUCUGUUGGAUUAUUCUUUCAAAAAUUAGUUGAUUUGACGAGGUAGGAUACUAUGUGCAAGUUGUUCCGUCCUUUCAAUAUUAUAAUUUUUGACGUGAUUUAUUUCAUGAAAUGCUAAUUGAGAAAUGAAAUGUGAGAUCUCCUCGGGUCUUCUCAAAUAUGUUAGAGUAUUCGAUUGAUCACCAAUUGCUCUUGAUGAAAUGAUGGUUAGAUCGGUCGACAUGAAUGGUGGCUGAGCGAUGCGCAGGCUGCCAAGUAAAGAAAUUUUCAAGAAAACAUUUAAAAUAAUUCUUCUAGGACAUUUUGUGUUUCCAUUUAACGUUUCAUAUUACCUGACGAUACAUUUAUUUGAUUUAGCCUUUGAGUAUUAAAUAAAUUAGGAGUUUUAAAGUUCCAAUUUA
Long non-coding RNA from Olea europaea var. sylvestris, 617 nucleotides. RefSeq lists it as uncharacterized. The transcript is spliced from 2 exons. NCBI's taxonomy places the organism in Eukaryota, Viridiplantae, Streptophyta, Magnoliopsida, Lamiales, Oleaceae. The record is from RefSeq and is a predicted model, not a curated record.